UUUUUUUUUUUUUUUUUUUUUUUUUUUCCUCUCCUGUGGCCUGCAGGCCAGGGAUCAAACCUACACCACAGCAGAUCCUUAACCUGCUGUGCCACCUGGAAACUCCAUGCCUGAGUCUCUUGGUCUUCCCUCCACACAUAGAAAUAUCCCGACGUCCUCUUCUUGUUAGGACAUCAGCCAUACUGCAUUAAGACCCAUCCUAAUGACCUCAUGUUAAUUAAUUGCCUCCCGAAAGACCCUGUCUCCAAAUACAGCCACGUUCUGAGGUCCUGGGAGGUAGGACUUUAACAUAUGCAUUUAGGAGUGAGAGGCACAGUUCAGCCGAGACCACACCCUAUCUCUGUCCUCACUACCCCACCCAGGUCUUAAGAACCUGGAGGAGCCUAUGGGAACUUGGUUCUGGGGGCAGAGCUGCAGGGAGCAAAUGAAGAGGGAGGAAGCUUCAGAGAAGGAAAGAGAAAAUUCUGGGAAACCAAAUAACAGUGCACAUCACACUUGAUGAUGAUCAGGAUGGGAACUAAGGGGAAGGAAAAUGUUAUUUACUGACCGUCUUCUCUGCGCUGGGCCUUUGACACGUCAUCUCAUGAAAUCCCCUCAACAAGACUGCAAAAGGAGUAUUCCUAUCCCAUUUUGUAGAUAAAGAAAAUGAUACUCAGGGUGAGUUUAUUUUAUUUAUUUUGUUUUGUCCUUUUAGGGCUGCACCCACAGCAUAUGGAGGUUCCCAGGCUAGGGGUCGAAUCAGAGCUGUAGCUGCUGGCCUAUGCUGCUGGCCUAGCAACACCAAAUCCGAAGCGUAUCUGCAACCUACACCAUAGCUCAUGGCAACACUGGAUCCUUAACCCACUGAGCAAGGCCAGGGAUCAAACCUGUGUCCUCAUGGAUACUAGUCAGAUUCGUCUUGCUGCACACCACGACAAGAACUCCUCAGGGUUAUUUUUUAAAAAACAUCUUGGAUGAGAAAGCCAUGGAGUUAAGGAUCACAGGUCCCAACUUCUCAGUUCAAUGGCCAAAUAAUUUGUUCUAUUUCUUUGGUUACCUUGCUCCUUCCCACCAUGGAACCUGCACAGAUGCUGUUUCCAUCUGCCAAGAACACUUCCUCAUGUUCUCACACCAUGUGUCCUAGUUAAUUCCUGCUCCUCCUCCAACUAUGAGCUCCAGCAUCUCCUCUUCAGAGACUUCUCCCUUAGAUCCCGAAGCCAAGUUCUUUGGUUAUUUGUUCUCCUAGCACCAUGAUCCUCCUGCCCCCAUCGAUUAUCUGAGACGUCUGGUGCCCCUGUUUCCACAGGACUCUCAGCUCCUUGAGGGACCAUACCUGUUUGUAAAUAACUGUGUAUUCCCAUCACCUAGCACAGUGUACGACGCAUGGCAGAUACUCAAUCGAUACCUAUUGGAAUGAAUGAAUAUCACCUCCUCUCAACAGCCUUAAUGAACACUCUGGCUGUCAGCCAGAGACCCCUGGACUGUGGUGCACUGGGCUAGAGCGUCCUGCAUCCAGCCCCCUCUGAGACCCAGGCUUCCUUUCUCCAAUUAGUUCCUAUGACAGUUUUUAUUUCAUCUCGGAACAUCUUAAUAUUGGGCUAUUCUAGUUAGGUUUGUCACUCGCUUUAGACCAUGAGUCUUUGAAAAGAACACCCAGGUCCUAUUCCUUUUGUAUGCCAGGAUCCCAGCUUAUAAACUGCUGCAGAGAAAGUAAUCCAUUGUGAGUUGAGAGGAAGGGUGGAGAGUGGAAAUGCAUUCUGGUGGUGAGAUUUCUCCCACCUAAUGGUGUUCAGAGAGCCAGAUGUGUUUUUUUGGAGAGCCAGUGGAUCAAUCAGGACCCUCAAAUCUCUGAAAAACUCAGUCACCCUUCAGGUAUGGUUGGAUCCAGGAGCUCACACACAUGGCAUCAGGAUAUGAUUUCUGUCCUUCUCUCAACACUGCUUUGCUGUGUUAGCCCUGUACUCACUAGCUUCCAAAAGCUCCAGGCCCCAUAUCUUCUUCACUGUGAGUCCAGUGAAAAGAGAGAGAGAUUUUAUUCCCAAACAGUUCAAACAAAAGUUCAGAAAUUGAAUCCCAUUUGACCAAUUCGGUCACAUGUCUACCCUGAACCAACUACAGUGGCCUAGAAGAACUGAUGCUGGGAUUAGUCAAGCCCUGGUCAUUUGUCCAACUCUGGAGCUGGAGUCAGCUCUGCUGAACCUAUGGGUUUAGAGCUGGCUUGGUAAGCAGGAGACAGGGCAAUAGAUGCUGGGCAGAAAAGACCCACCAUAUUCACUCUGACUGCUAUUUACAGGUCAGCUCCUAACACUCCUGUGAGGCUACUGCAGAGGGUGGUACUUCCCAUUCUCCCUGGCUCUGAGAUGUAACUUCAGCAAAGCUCUGCCUGGCUUCCCACCAUCCUGCUCUCCUCACACCAGCUCAGAAACCUAGUGGGCUGUCAGCCAGAGACCCCUGGACUGUGGUGCACUGGGCUAGAGCGUCCCGCAUCCAGCCCCACCAAGCUCUUCACACAGGAGAGGACUUGCCCCAGGAGAGGCACUUAACCUCCAUGCUCUUUUCUUGUUGCUGACCUUCCUACCAAGACGUCAUUGGUCUUGGCUCCCUUCAUGACUUUAUUUUUUCUAGCUCCCCCAUUAAGGAGGCAGCAGAACCGUAAAAGGGUUUCUCCAAUAACCCCAGUAUUUCAGGCUUUAUCUCCCUGUGGGUUAAAGACACCCUUGCAAGAGUCAGAGAAUGAUUUUUUUUUUUAAUUUUGUUUAGAUUGUUGCAUCUAUGAUGGAUGCAUGGAUGCAUGGAUGCAUGGUACGCAGGCUGGAUGAAUCAAUCCUAGGUGCCUUCAGAACAGCCUAUCUCUGUGUCUUUUCUUAUUUACCAUCUUCAGCUCCAGAUUGUUAUCAGAAUGGAACAGAAUUUUCUUUGUCCUGACAUCAGUGGACAUUCCUCCGUUGUCACAAUGACCAUAUGUGGCACUUACCCUACUUGAGGCACUUAGCUAAGCACUCAUUCGAUCUUCACCACAACUCCACGGGCCAAUCUCGAUGCUGAUAGUGUCUGAAAUGUACAGUUAAGGAAACCAAGACUUAGUGCAGUUGUCCCAGGCACACAGCCAGUCAAUGGCAGAAGCCAGGACUCAACGCAUGUGACUUUAACCACUGUGUUAGAGAGUCCUGUGCGCAGGGAACCUCAGCUCCAGCCACACCAGUUUUCUCAUCCUCCCUUUGAUACGGCGUAUCUUACUCAUGCUGCUCUGCCUGGAGGAAGAUCUUCCAUCCUCCCCUCCAGUUACACUGAUAAUAGGAAAUAUAUUUGUUGGGGCCAAAUAUAUUAAGGCUACAUCACUUAACAAUUAGUCCAAGAGUUCCCAUUGUGGGCACAGCAGAAACAAAUCUGACUAUUAUCCAUGGGGAUGUGUGUUUGAUCCCAGGCCUCGCUCAGGGGGUUAAGGAUAGGGCAUUGCCGUGAGCUAUGGUGUAUGUCACAGAUGCUGCUCAGAUCCUGCAUUGCUGUGGUUGUGGCCUAGGCUGGCAGCUGCAGCUCUGCUUAGACCCCUAGCCUGGGAACUUCCAUAUAAGGGUGCGGCCCCAAAAAAGAAAAAAAAAAAAUUAGUCACCACAUUACAGUAGUUUAUCAAAGAUUUCUUUCUUGGAGUUCCCUUGUGGUUCAGUGGGUUAAGGAUCUUGCCUUGCCACUGCUGUGGCCCCAGUCGCUGCUGGGUUGUGGGUUCAACCUGUGGCCUGGGAGCGUCCACAUGCCACAGGUGCAGCCAAUAAAGGGAAAAAAAAAAAAAGACUUCUUUCUUAUAGAUGACCUCCAGCAGAGAAAAAAAGAGAUGGACGGGGAAACACUGGCUUUAACUGCCUCAGCCUGGAAGGAACCCAUGUCAUUUCUGCUUACAUUUCAUUAGCCCCAAUCAAGCAGUAUACAGACAUUCGGUGAACACAUCCUGCCUCUGCCCCCAAGAACCACACGGCUCCUGCCAAGGGCAGGUAAAAGGUCAAGGGCCUGCCAGCUCAGCCCAUCAGUGCAGAGGGGAGAAGGGGGCUGAGGGCCAAAGGACCAAGAUCUGGGCUGGUGGUUGGGAAGUGGGGAACAAUGGGUGGGAUUCAGGGAUUAACCGAGUGUCACAAGCUCCAAACUCCAAUGUUUGGGUGGUGCCCCGUUUCUAUUGUCUUGACUAUUUCUCCAAAGAAGUGAGCCAACACUGAACUUCUUGGCUAAGACUCGGAACUCUUAUUAUCUAGGUUUUGGGGGCUGCUAAUUACAGGAUCUGACCCGAAUUAAGGGAACAAUGUAAUAGGAAUAACAAUUCCUGACUUUUUAAACUUCAGAGUUUACAAAUCAUUCUCACAGCCAUAAUCUUAUUUGACCCUUACAAUAGCCCCAUGACGUAGAUAUGUUAUCUCCAUUGUCCGGUAAGGAAAUGCAGAGAAAGAUGUUGUCAUGGACCAAAAUCACACAAAACCUUAGCAGGCUAGCGUAGUCCUCGGUGCCAGUUUUCUGAACCCAGGCUCAGAGAUUCUCGUGCAGCUCAACUCUUCCCAUGCAAAUUUCUAUGGAAAGUGACAACAUGAAAAUGAACUUCAGCCGGAUUUGGAUUCAAAAGCUUGGGUGCUCUGGGUAUUCAAGAAGGAGGAAUUUCUUUUUUUUCUUCCCCUUUUUAGGGCUGCACUCAGGACUUAUGGACGUUCACAGGCUAGGAUGUUCUUGGGGUCGAAUUGGAGCUACAGCUGCCGGCCUAUGCCACAACCACAGCAAUGCCAGAUCCAAGCCGCGUCUGCAGCCUCCACCACAGCUCACGGCAAUGCCAGAUCCUUAACCCGAUGAGCAAGGCCAGGGAUCGAGCCUGCAUCUUCAUGGAUCCUAGUGGGGUUUGUUAACUGCUGAGCCAUGAAGGGAACUCCCAAGAAGGAGGAACUAUAACAUGCGGGUGUCGAAGGUAGACAAGCUGGGUUCGAAUCCCAGCCCUGCCACCUGCAAUCUGGGUGGGGGUUGGCAAGUUCUCUCUGUGCCCACUUCCUUCAUUUGCUAUUUUUUAGUAUUAGUUUUCUUUCUUAUUACAGUUGAUUUAUAAUGUUGUGCCCCCGUCUGCUAAAUAGCAAAGUGAUCCAGUCAUAUAUACACAUACAUUUUUUUUCUCAUACCAUUUUCCAUCAUGUUCUAUCCCAAGAGAUUGGAUCCAGUUCCCUGUGCAGUACAGUAGGACUUCAUUGCUUAUCCAAUCUAAAUGUUAUUGUUUGCAUCUGCUAACCCCAAACUCCCAGUCCAUCCCACUACCUCUCCAUCCGCCUUGGCAACCACAGGUUUGUUCUCUAUGUCUGUGAGUCUGUUUCUGUUUUGUAAAUAGGUUCAUCUGUGCCAUAUUUUAGAUUCCACCUAUAAGCGAUAUCAUAUGGCAUAUGUCUUUUUCUUUCUGACUUACUUUGCUUAGAAUGAGAAUCUCUAGUUGCACCCAUGUUGCUGCAUGGUAUUAUUUCAUUCUUUUUUUACGGCUG
This 5471-nucleotide long non-coding RNA is filed under the name Sus scrofa (pig). RNAcentral describes it as "lncRNA (ENSSSCG00055004776.1)". Lineage: Eukaryota; Metazoa; Chordata; Mammalia; Artiodactyla; Suidae. The record is from RNAcentral.